This 427-nucleotide ribosomal RNA is filed under the name Ixodes scapularis (black-legged tick). RNAcentral's name for it is "partial 12S ribosomal RNA". Lineage: Eukaryota; Metazoa; Arthropoda; Arachnida; Ixodida; Ixodidae. The record is from RNAcentral.
UAAAAAAUUUUGGCGGUAUUUUAAGCUUAUUAGAGGAAUUUGCUCUGUGAUGGACACAACGCCUUAAUCUUACUUAAUUUAGUAAUUUAAAUCAGUUUGUAUACCACUAUAUUAAUUAUAUUGAAUAGUUAUAUUUAAAAUUUCUUUAAAAAAAAUAUAUUAAGUCAAGGUGCAUCUAAUAAUUAUGAAUGAAGUGAAUUACAUUAAUUUUAAUGUAAUUUUUUACAUGAAAAAAUUAAUUAGGAUUUAAUAGUAAAAUACUAAUAUUAUGAGUAUUUGAAUCAAGCUCUAAAAUAUGCACAUAUCGCCCGUCGCUCUCAGAAGUGAGAUAAGUCGUAACAAAGUAAAAAUACUGGAAAGUGUUUUUUAAAAUGAAAUCAUUUGAUGUUUCAUUUACAAUGAAAAUUUUGUUGUUUAACCAUUUUAA